This 509-nucleotide ribosomal RNA is filed under the name uncultured bacterium. RNAcentral's name for it is "partial 16S ribosomal RNA". The record is from RNAcentral.
GGAGUUAGCCGGUGCUUCUUCUGUGAGUGAUGUCCUUCCUGCCGGCUAUUAACCCGCAGGCCUUCUUCCUCACUGAAAGUGCUUUACAACCCGAAGGCCUUCUUCACACACGCGGCAUGGCUGGAUCAGGGUUGCCCCCAUUGUCCAAUAUUCCCCACUGCUGCCUCCCGUAGGAGUCUGGGCCGUGUCUCAGUCCCAGUGUGGCUGAUCAUCCUCUCAGACCAGCUACGGAUCGUCGCCUUGGUGAGCCGUUACCUCACCAACCAGCUAAUCCGACAUAGGCUCAUCCGAUAGCGCGAGGCCCGAAGGUCCCCCGCUUUCCCCCGUAGGGCGUAUGCGGUAUUAGCCUGGGUUUCCCCAGGUUAUCCCCCACUACCGGGCAGAUUCCUAUGCAUUACUCACCCGUCCGCCGCUCGCCACCAGGGAGCAAGCUCCCCGUGCUGCCGCUCGACUUGCAUGUGUUAGGCCUGCCGCCAGCGUUCAAUCUGAGCCAUAGNACCAACGCCUGA